RNAcentral lists this ribosomal RNA (2964 nucleotides) under Triticum aestivum (bread wheat). RNAcentral describes it as "partial small subunit ribosomal RNA". The record is from RNAcentral. Lineage: Eukaryota; Viridiplantae; Streptophyta; Magnoliopsida; Poales; Poaceae.
AUGGAGCAAUUGGAGAAGAGGAUGGAUGCUGCUGAACAACAAAUCAAAGAGCUGCGUGAAGAUCUUAAUAGGAGAUUUGACCAGCUGGUUGAGAUGAUAAGAAAGGGUGUCCCCCCUGCUACCAAUGAAGGAGAUUCAUCUAAAGAAGAGGAAGAUGUUCAUCAAGGAAGAAGGAGAGGUAAUCUUGGAGCAAGACCGCCACGACAACAUGUUGUUCAACGUGCUUCAAGAAGGCCAAUUUAUGUUGAUGCUUCUGAAGGUGAAGAAUAUGAUGAUGCCCUUGAAGAAGCAGAUCUCUACGCAUAUCAGAGAGUACCCAACCCUACAUAUGCAAGAGAUACAUACAAGGUGAAAGCUGAGAUCCCAAGUUUUAAUGGAAAUGUUGACAUUGAAGGGUGCCUGGAUUGGUUAUAUGAAGUGGAGACUUUCUUUGAGGUCAUGGAGGUUCCGGGAGAUCGUAGAGUUCCUUUGGUCGCAUACAAACUGAAAGGAGGAGCCGGUGCAUGGUGGCAUCGCGUUCAAGAGGAGCGCAGGCUGAGAGGAGAACCUCGUGUUAGAACUUGGCGACAAAUGAAAGGCCUCUUGAAAGGGAGAUUUUUGCCCGCUGAUUAUGACCAGAUCCUAUUUAUCCAAUUUCAAAAUUGUGCUCAAGGAAAUAGGACUGUUUCAGAUUACACGGAGGAGUUUCUAAGGCUACAAGUGAGGUGCAACCUUGCUGAAACUAAAGAGCAACAAGUUGCAAGGUACAUCAAUGGUCUCAAUGAUGCUAUUCAAGAUCGAUUGAUGAUGCAACAAAUCUGGUCCGUUGAUCAAGCACAAGCUCUAGCCUUAAAGGCCGAGAGGUUUGUGAGGAUGAGAAAGACAACUAAGGCUCCAUAUCCUCCAUAUCCUCAUACCGAAGGCUCAUCUAGGAGCCAACCUAAUAGAGUGGAAGAAAAGACCACUCCACCAAAGACGAAACAGCCCAUCCCGAAGCAAACUAGAGGCAAGGGUAAGGCAAAUGAAGGCCCAAAGUGCUAUAAAUGUGGUAAAGAGGGACACAUAUCCAGCGGCUGCCCACUAAGGAAAUUUGUUAACACGACUAUCCAUGAUGGUGAAAGUGAUGAGGAAGAAUACGAAUCUGAAGAUGUAGACGGACAAGAGGUUUGUCAAGAAGAAGGUGAAGAGGUGGUAUGUGUGAUCCAGCGUGUCCUAUGUUCCACACCACAACUCGAUGACACACAACGGAAGCAAAUAUUUGAGAGCAAAUGCACGGUGAAUGGCAAGGUAUGCAAACUAGUGAUUGAUAGUUGCAGUUGCGAGAAUCUUAUCUCCCAGAAGUUGGUGGACCAUUUAAAGCUUGAAACCCAUGAUCAUCCAAAUCCCUACACUAUUGGAUGGAUCAAGAAAGGAGUGAAUAUGAGGAUCACCAAACAAUGCAACCUGCCACUUUCUUUGGGUAAGCAUUAUCGCUCAAAUGUGUUGUGUGAUGUGGUUGACAUGGAUGCCAGCCAUGUUCUUCUUGGGAGGCCUUGGCAAUUUGAUGUGGAUACUACACACAAGGGCAAGGAAAAUUCUUACUCUUUCAUUUGGAACAAGAGAAGGAUCAUUAUCUUACAAAACAAACCCGAAGGUAAUACCUCUAAGGAGGAGGGGAAAACUAUGUUAACUAUCUCCCAUACCUCUCAUGAGUUUAUGGAAGACUUGAAGGAGGCAGAUUGGUGUGCUGCACUUGUUGUAAAGGGAGAAGAGCACCUGACUGUUGAAAUUCCAGCAAAGGUACGUGGUUUAUUGGCAGAAUUUCAGAACAUACUUGGGGAGCCACAUGGCUUGCCACCGAUGAGAGGAAUUCAACAUAGAAUUGACUUAAUUCCGGGAGCAAGUCUUCCUAAUCUUUCACACUAUCGAAUGAGCCCAAAGGAGCAUGGUAUAUUGAAGGAGAAAGUGGAGGAAUUGUUGCAAAAUGGCCACAUUCGAGAAAGUAUUAGCCCAUGUGCUGUACCAGCCCUACUCGCGCCAAAGAAAGAUGGAUCUUGGCGCAUGUGUACGGACAGUAGAGCCGUUAACAAGAUCACCGUAAGGUAUAGAUUCCCUAUUCCCCGUCUAGAUGAUAUGUUGGAUCAGCUUAGUGGAGCAAGAGUGUUCACAAAGCUAAAUUUAAGAAGUGGAUAUCAUCAAAUCCGUAUAAGACCCGGGGAUGAAUGGAAGACCGCCUUCAAGACAAAGGAAGGGUUGUUUGAAUGGCUAGUCAUGCCAUUUGGACUCUCAAAUGCACCAAGUACCUUUAUGCACUUAAUGAAUCAAGUCCUUAGACCCUUCUUAUCCCACUUUGUUGUGGUCUAUUUCGAUGACAUCUUGAUCUAUAGCAAGGAUGAGGAUGAACACUUUGAUCACAUUCGGAAGGUGCUAGAAGUACUAAGGGAAAAUGAGCUCUACGUCAACUUGAAGAAAUGUGUUUUACUGCAAACACAACUUCUUUUCCUAGGAUUCGUCAUAACAUGUGACGGCAUUCGUGUUGAUGAUUCUAAGGUUGAAGCAAUCCGAGAAUGGCCAACUCCUAAGACCAUUUCUGAGGUAAGAAGCUUUCAUGGCCUUGCAACUUUCUAUAGGCGAUUUGUUAAGAAUUUCAGCACUAUCAUGGCACCAAUUACCGAGUGUUUGAAGAAAGGAAAGUUCCAAUGGGCAGAAGCAGCUGAAGCUAGCUUCAAUGAGAUUAAACAAAAGCUAUCACAAGCUCCUGCCUUGGUACUACCUGAUUUCAACAAGACUUUUGAGUUGGAGUGUGAUGCAAGUGGAGUAGGCAUUGGAGCUGUCCUAUCUCAAGAAAGGAAGCCCAUUGCUUUCUUUAGUGAGAAGUUAAGUGAAGCUAGACAGAAAUGGAGUACUUAUCAGCAAGAAUUAUACGCCGUUUUCAGAGCGUUGAAAACUUGGGAAGUCUAUUUGCUGCCUAAAGAGUUCAUUGUUUAUAGCGACCAUCAAUCUUGA